This 374-nucleotide unclassified non-coding RNA is filed under the name soil metagenome. RNAcentral describes it as "partial internal transcribed spacer 1". The stretch from base 1 to 120 matches the Rfam family "5.8S ribosomal RNA", at positions 35 to 154 of the family's 154-position model. The record is from RNAcentral.
GAUGAAGAACGCAGCGAAAUACGAUAAUUAAUGUGAAUUGCAGAAUUCCGUGAAUCAUCGAGUCUUUGAACGCACAUUGCGCCUCAUAGCAUUCCGUGAGGCAUGCCCAUCUCAGCGUUAGAAAAUAUUCUCAAAUUUUAGUUUUGUGCUAAAAUUUGGAUCAUGUCAAGGAAGCUAUUACUAUUAUUGUGAUCGCUCUUUGGAAAUUGAUAGGUCUUUGAGUUGCUACUCAUAGAACGUGAUGAAUCUUUCUUCGUUCUAUUGUAGUUCACUCUGGUAGUCCUAAAACUUGUAUGCCUGUGGCAUAUCUUGUAAUUUGACCUGAGAUUGGGUAGGGAUACCCACUGAACUUAAGCAUAUCAAUAAGCGGAGGA